Tarenaya hassleriana is the source of this 1423-nucleotide long non-coding RNA. RefSeq lists it as uncharacterized. The transcript has 2 exons. The record is from RefSeq and is a predicted model, not a curated record. NCBI's taxonomy places the organism in Eukaryota, Viridiplantae, Streptophyta, Magnoliopsida, Brassicales, Cleomaceae.
GGUCGCUCUCUGCAAUUUUCUCCCUUAGCAUAUUACGUUCUUCUUUUCCUGCAAUUCUCUGCCUUCGCAUAUUGCGUUCUUCUUCAUGCUUCCACUUCCACGUCUGUUUUAGCAGAGCCUUUCUCUGAUAUCAGAAUUAUACUCUGGCAUCACAGCUAGUCUCUAAUACCUUAUCUGUUUGCGUGAAUUAAGGAGAAACUUAGAGUUUGAUUCAACGAGUUUCUUAGUUUUUUUGUGAUCGCUUUCGAUAGGCGUUGCGUUCUUCGCUUGGGAAUUUAGUGACCCAGAAGAGCGCGUCAACGGAAGCGUAGAGUGAAUUUUUCAAUCCGAUGGGGUUGCGAUUUCAGAGUUCUCUGAAAGAGCAUUUUCGAUCCGAUGGGUCGAGCUGUUUCGUGUCUUUUCCAUCGAUCCAUUGGGUUGGAAAAUUUUUCAGAUUUCUAUUGCAGAUUACGAAAGAAAAUAGUAUCUCGGGCUUUCUUGAUUUGAUACGGUGUUGUUGCUUCUUACUGGUGAACUCUCUUAAAGAACACUGGGAGAUGUUCAUGUUUCCGAAGCAUAGAUAAACCUGGCAAGAAUUAAACAGCUCUGUGCAAAUCUAUCAUUGCACAGUCGUUACCUGUCUCCUUGUACAUUUCCUUCAAUUAUGUUCCGAAAUUUGUGUUUUUUUCGGUAGAUUAUGUGUUGGUUUUGAAUCCAUUUGUGUUUCUACCUUUGAUUUUCUAUAAAGUUUUGGUCUUGCAUGUUUAUUUUCCGUAAUUAACGUUUAAGUUCGUGUUUACUGAAAGUAUGUGUUGUGUUUUAGUUAUGAAAGCAUUUAGUUUACUACCGUGAAAUCAGAGAUGGUAACGGUAACCAACAUGGAGCGUUGCAGUAGAACAGAACUGAAAUCAUUAUGGAAUCUCAGUCUCUGUUCCUGGAACUGAAUCAUGAUUGUGUCAGGCUUUAGCCAUCUCGGUGUCUUGGUGGAAGCUCACGUGAUCUUGUUGUGCAUGCUCUAUUGCCAAGGGAGAGCAUCUGGGUUUGGUCGGUGAAGGUUUCAGGCUUUGUUCGAGACUUGGAGUACUUUUUGUGAUGGGGUCAGGACACAUUUCACAUUUGCGGGUAACUGAUUCAACAGAAUGCGCCAGCAGAUCGAACGCUCAAUAUGUGGAUCGCGUUCUGGUUCGUGGCGGUUCCUUGCUGGUCAAGCAUCGGCCUGUCGUUGACCGCUGCCUCAUCUUCCCGAACCUUUGCUCUCCUGUCGUGGGAGAAUGUACUGUUCCUAGAAGUUAGCUAGCUCACUUGAACUGAAGAUGCAUGGAAUUGUCUGAAGCUUAGGCUUCAAGGCAGCUCUUUAGGAGUGUGGCCCAAUUCUGUAUCGGCUUAUUCCAGGCCCAAUUCUAUUCGACCCAGCCUUAUAAAAUGUUUCUUUCACCUUUAUUAA